This 111-nucleotide long non-coding RNA is filed under the name Anser cygnoides (Swan goose). RNAcentral's name for it is "lncRNA (ENSACDG00005017417.1)". The record is from RNAcentral. Lineage: Eukaryota; Metazoa; Chordata; Aves; Anseriformes; Anatidae.
GUCCUGCCACUCUUGGUGUGAAGAACGCUACAGUCCAUUAUUCUGGGCAGGUCUUCAUUGAUCCUGUGCCAGUACUGAGCCAAGAAAAGUAUGAAUAUCUGGUUACUGCUU